Molecule: ribosomal RNA, 2067 nt
Filed under: Triticum aestivum (bread wheat)
Lineage: Eukaryota; Viridiplantae; Streptophyta; Magnoliopsida; Poales; Poaceae
Description: partial small subunit ribosomal RNA
Source: RNAcentral
AUGGAGAUGAAACCCAAAAGAUUUUCGUUGGGGCGUAACCCUCUCAGCGACGCGCCACAUCGGAACCCGGGUGUGGUGGAAAAUGGGCAAGGGCCAGGCCGUCACCCCCCAGGUGGCGCGCCGUAUCUUGAUCCGGAUACGGUGGCAAGUGAGCGAGGAUCGGGUCGUCGCAUCCUUAGUGGCGCGCUACAUCGGCGCCCGGAUGUAGUGGAAAAUGAGCAAGGGUCUUCGCAUUUGACUCGACGAGUGCGAAGGGUAAGGAAGCUAGCCGAGCCUAGGAGGAUUCGCUUAGGUAGCUGGAACGUAGGGUCUCUGACAGGGAAGCUUCGGGAGCUAGUUGAUGCAGCGGUGAGGAGAGGUGUUGAUAUCCUUUGCGUCCAAGAAACCAAAUGGAGAGGACAGAAGGCGAAGGAGGUGGAGGAUACCGGCUUCAAGCUAUGGUACACGGGGACGGCUGCAAACAGAAAUGGCGUAGGCAUCUUGAUCAACAAGAGCCUCAAGUAUGGAGUGGUAGACGUCAAGAGACGUGGGGAUCGGAUUAUCCUGGUCAAGCUGGUAGUUGAGGACUUGGUUCUCAAUGUUAUCAGCGCGUAUGCCCCGCAAGUAGGCCACAAUGAGAACACCAAGAGGGAGUUCUGGGAAGGCCUGGAAGACAUGGUUAGGAGUGUACCGAUUGGUGAGAAGCUCUUCAUAGGAGGAGACCUCAAUGGCCACGUGGGUACAUCUAACACAGAUUUUGAAGGGGCGCAUGGGGGCUUUGGCUAUGGCAUCAGGAAUCAAGAAGGAGACGAUGUCUUAAGCUUUGCUCUAGCCUACAACAUGAUUGUAGCCAACACCCUCUUUAGAAAGAGAGAAUCACAUCUGGUGACUUUUAGUAGUGGCCAACACUCUAGCCAGAUUGAUUUCAUCCUCUCGAGAAGGGAACAUAGGCGUGCGUGCCUAGACUGUAAGGUGAUACCUGGAGAGAGUGUUGUACCCCAGCAUAAGCUGGUGGUUGCUGACUUCCGCUUUCGGAUUCGUGUCCAGCGGGAUAAGCGAGCUAAAGUCGCUAGAACGAAGUGGUGGAAGCUCAAGGGGGAGGUAGCUCAGGCGUUCAAGGAGAGGGUCAUUAAGGAGGGCCCUUGGGAGGAAGGAGGGGAUGCGGACAAUGUGUGGAUGAAGAUGGCGACUUGCAUUCGUAAGGUGGCCUCAGAGGAGUUUGGAGUGUCCAGGGGAAGGAGAAGCGAAGAUAAGGAUACCUGGUGGUGGAAUGAUGAUGUCCAGAAGGCGAUUAAAGAGAAGAAAGAUUGCUUUAGACGCCUAUACCUGGAUAGGAGUGCACACAACAUAGAGAAGUACAAGAUGGCGAAGAAGGCCGCAAAGCGAGCUGUUGGUGAAGCAAGGGGUCGGGCGUAUGAGGACCUCUACCAACGGUUAGGCACGAAGGAAGGCGAAAGGGACAUCUAUAAGAUGGCCAAGAUCCGAGAGAGGAAGACGAGGGAUAUUGGCCAAGUCAAAUGCAUCAAGGACGGAGCAGGCCAACUCUUGGUGAAGGACGAGGAGAUUAAGCAUAGAUGGCGGGAGUACUUCGACAAGCUGUUCAAUGGGGAGAAUGAAAGCUCUACCAUUGAACUGGACGACUCUUUUGAUGAGACCAACAUGCGUUUUGUGCGUCGAAUCCAGGAGUCUGAGGUCAAGGAGGCUUUAAAAAGAAUGAAGGGAGGCAAGGCGAUGGGCCCGGAUUGUAUCCCCAUUCAGGUGUGGAAAGGUCUCGGGGACAUAGCGAUAGUAUGGCUAACCAGGCUUUUCAAUCUCAUUUUUCGGGCAAACAAGAUGCCAGAAGAAUGGAGACGGAGUAUAUUAGUACCAAUCUCCAAGAACAAGGGGGAUGUUCAGAGUUGUACUAAUUACCGUGGAAUUAAGCUGAUGAGCCAUACAAUGAAGCUAUGGGAGAGAGUCAUUGAGCACCGCUUAAGAAGAAUGACAAGCGUGACCAAAAACCAGUUUGGUUUCAUGCCUGGGAGGUCGACCAUGGAAGCCAUUUUCUUGGUACGACAGCUUAUGGAGAGAUAUAGGGAGCAAAAGAAG